CCUACGGGUGGCAGCAGUGGGGAAUAUUGGACAAUGGGCGAAAGCCUGUUCCAGCCAUGCCGCGUGUGUGAAGAAGGCCUUCGGGUUGUAAAGCACUUUCAGUGGGGAAGAAAGCCUUGGGGCUAAUACCCUCGAGGAAGGACAUCACCCACAGAAGAAGCACCGGCUAACUCCGUGCCAGCAGCCGCGGUAAUACGGAGGGUGCGAGCGUUAAUCGGAAUUACUGGGCGUAAAGCGCGCGUAGGCGGUCUGAUAAGCCGGUUGUGAAAGCCCCGGGCUCAACCUGGGAACGGCAUCCGGAACUGUCAGGCUAGAGUGCAGGAGAGGAAGGUAGAAUUCCCGGUGUAGCGGUGAAAUGCGUAGAGAUCGGGAGGAAUACCAGUGGCGAAGGCGGCCUUCUGGACUGACACUGACGCUGAGGUGCGAAAGCGUGGGUAGCAAACAGGAUUAGAUACCCGAGUAGUC
This 465-nucleotide ribosomal RNA is filed under the name Vreelandella stevensii. RNAcentral's name for it is "partial 16S ribosomal RNA". It matches the Rfam family "Bacterial small subunit ribosomal RNA", at positions 338 to 795 of the family's 1533-position model. The record is from RNAcentral. Lineage: Bacteria; Pseudomonadati; Pseudomonadota; Gammaproteobacteria; Oceanospirillales; Halomonadaceae.